This 253-nucleotide ribosomal RNA is filed under the name uncultured bacterium. Its description in RNAcentral is "partial 16S ribosomal RNA". It matches the Rfam family "Bacterial small subunit ribosomal RNA", at positions 524 to 776 of the family's 1533-position model. The record is from RNAcentral.
UACGGAGGGUGCAAGCGUUACUCGGAAUUACUGGGCGUAAAGCGCACGCAGGUGGCUGAGUCAGUCGAUUGUGAAAGCCCUGGGCUUAACCUGGGAAUUGCAGUCGAUACUACUCAGCUAGAGUAUGGGAGAGGGUAGUGGAAUUCCCGGUGUAGCAGUGAAAUGCGUAGAGAUGCGGAGGAACACCGAUGGCGAAGGCAGCCCCCUGGGCUAGCACUGACGCUCAGGCACGAAAGCGUGGGGAGCAAACAGG